UCUCCCUUCUCCCUCACGCACUGCCCUCUCCGGCGAUUCCUCUCCCGGCGACGUCGAGCCACCGCACAGUGGGCAUUCCGAUCGCGUUGACGCAUCUCAGCCCAACGCCGGCCGAGUCUCCUUUCUUCCUCCUUCUCCCUCUCGAUGCAUGGAGUGUUUCUCCUCUUCCUCUCUCGCCCGCGGACGACUCGACGCCAACGGCUUCCCCAGCGAUCUCGGCUUCGACACAACGAUCUCCUCUUUGGCUGUGCUGGCACACGAGGCAAUGACUCGGCGGAGCUAGGGCAUGGCGGGGAGAGGUUGAUUCGUGUCUUUUCCAGCCGAUCGAGCUUCUUUUGCUCUCCUCUUCGAUCUACUUGCUGGGGGUGAACUGGAUCAUCAUCAGUGGAAGUGGAUCGCACGACACCAGCUGUAGGGAUUGAUUGAGGAGGAUGCUUCGGAUAAACCUAGUGAUGGAUCUUCCUUGAGUAGAACUUCAUCUCCUUCAUUCUUGCGGCUGCUAGGGGCUUGGGGUGAAGAGGUGGAGAGCUAUGAAGCUUCUCAGCAGGGAGUUGUAGGGUUGCUGAGCUACUGGAGUUGCUGCCAUGGUUCAAGGACUUGGAUUCGGGACGAGCGUCUCAACGUGGGAUUUUCGGACACGAGCUACGUAUUA
Zingiber officinale is the source of this 652-nucleotide long non-coding RNA. RefSeq lists it as uncharacterized. The transcript has 4 exons. Lineage: Eukaryota; Viridiplantae; Streptophyta; Magnoliopsida; Zingiberales; Zingiberaceae. The record is from RefSeq and is a predicted model, not a curated record.